ACUCAAAUGAAUAGACGGGGGCCCGCACAAGCAGCGGAGCAUGUGGUUUAAUUCGAAGCAACGCGAAGAACCUUACCAGGUCUUGACAUCGAGGCAAAGCCGUAGAGAUACGGUGUUCAGCAAUGAGGCCGAAGACAGGUGGUGCAUGGUUGUCGUCAGCUCGUGUCGUGAGAUGUUGGGUUAAGUCCCGCAACGAGCGCAACCCUUAUUGUCAGUUACUAACGGGUAAAGCCGAGGACUCUGACGAGACUGCCGGGGACAACUCGGAGGAAGGUGGGGACGACGUCAAAUCAUCAUGCCCCUUAUGACCUGGGCUACACACGUGCUACAAUGGUGGUAACAGAGAGGCGCGAGCUCGCAAGGGGGAGCGGAUCUCAAAAAAGCCAUCUCAGUUCGGAUUGUGGGCUGCAACCCGCCCACAUGAAGUUGGAGUUGCUAGUAAUCGCGGAUCAGCAUGCCGCGGUGAAUACGUUCCCGGGCCUUGCACACACCGCCCGU
RNAcentral lists this ribosomal RNA (498 nucleotides) under uncultured archaeon. RNAcentral's name for it is "bacterial SSU rRNA". It matches the Rfam family "Bacterial small subunit ribosomal RNA", at positions 899 to 1397 of the family's 1533-position model. The record is from RNAcentral.